This 253-nucleotide ribosomal RNA is filed under the name uncultured prokaryote. RNAcentral describes it as "partial 16S ribosomal RNA". It matches the Rfam family "Bacterial small subunit ribosomal RNA", at positions 524 to 776 of the family's 1533-position model. The record is from RNAcentral.
UACGGAGGGUGCAAGCGUUAAUCGGAAUUACUGGGCGUAAAGCGCACGCAGGCGGUCGGAUAAGUUAGAUGUGAAAGCCCCGGGCUCAACCUGGGAAUUGCAUUUAAAACUGUCCAGCUAGAGUCUUGUAGAGGGGGGUAGAAUUCCAGGUGUAGCGGUGAAAUGCGUAGAGAUCUGGAGGAAUACCAAUGGCGAAGGCAGCCCCCUGGGAUAAUAUUGACGCUCAUGCACGAAAGCGUGGGGAGCAAACAGG